This 101-nucleotide long non-coding RNA is filed under the name Chinchilla lanigera (long-tailed chinchilla). RNAcentral describes it as "lncRNA (ENSCLAG00000024279.1)". The record is from RNAcentral. Lineage: Eukaryota; Metazoa; Chordata; Mammalia; Rodentia; Chinchillidae.
UUCCACUGUAGCUUGCAAACAUGAUCUCUAGCUGUCCAAGCUUCAUAACAGCUGUACAAGCUCGUUUCCUUGAACAACUCUGGGGAACAAAGGCUUUUCAA